RNAcentral lists this long non-coding RNA (434 nucleotides) under Macaca nemestrina (pig-tailed macaque). RNAcentral's name for it is "lncRNA (ENSMNEG00000045971.1)". Lineage: Eukaryota; Metazoa; Chordata; Mammalia; Primates; Cercopithecidae. The record is from RNAcentral.
CGUGUUUUGUGGGAUUUGCCAGCAGCGUGCAAUCUCCCUGCAUGCGUCAGGUCCACACAUGGCAGUGUCCCUUGUCUCUCUCUGGGUUUGUUUGGUGGUACAUCAGGCCAGUCUCUGGAAGCCUGGAAUUAAGGAUGCAAGCAUGUUCAUGCGCGUGGUGUAGGAUGGAUGGGGAAGGCAAUCGCAGGAGACCUUCCGCUCCCUCCUCCACCUGGGGCUGGGCCCUGAAAACAAUAACAGAGCACGCCAGUGAUCGUAAGAAGAAAAAUUCACACUUAAAGUUUGGAAAGCAACAGGACAAAGGUCUGUCUUCAGUGUUCAUAGGUUUCAGAAUAACACAACUACAGUGCAAGUGGAACUUGAGAAUGAAUGAACAUCCGGGAUUGAGGAUGGAUGCAGUCAGUAACUAUUGUCACCCACUGGUGAGGGAGUGA